Molecule: long non-coding RNA, 845 nt
Filed under: Bos taurus (domestic cattle)
Lineage: Eukaryota; Metazoa; Chordata; Mammalia; Artiodactyla; Bovidae
Description: long non-coding RNA NONBTAT021556
Source: RNAcentral
ACUCUUUGCUUUGGGGUUCUGGUCACGCCAGCUGGAGCCUUGUAUUCCCUGUGGCUGUAGAGAGUCCCCGCACUUCUGAGAAGCACCCAGAAUAUCUACACGCUCCUAUACCCAUGCGGUGGUCUCGGUACCCCAGCCUGAUGCUUCUCAGCUCGUAUUUUGCUGGGAUAAAGCAAAGCAGGGCAAGGAAUUGAGGAUAUACACGAAGGAGUCAUCAUCAGGACUGACCAGAGGAUUUAAGGCAGUGGUACCAGCUUGCUGUUGGGACAGCAUAGUUUGAAGCUCAGUACAUAAUGGUCAUGAUAUGUGUCCGAUACGCAUCUUUAAAUGGAAGAACGGCUUCUCAUUUGGUAAAGAGAGUCCAAGCAUAGCAAGGAGUCCGGGUUGAUAAGGAAUCUGCGUGUCUGCUCUGUGAAGAGGGGUGUCUCCCCCACCACACCCCAGCCUCUGAGUCCUGCAUGGGCAGAGGUUCUGACUGCCUGGCCAGGCUGAAAGCACCCUGAGGGCAGAGGUACUUAAGAUAGUGGUUCAAAGUUCCCCCAACAGUGUGACGAGAUGGACUGGGAAGGGACUUCUGGGAGGACUGGAUUUGCUUCUUCACUCAGCCACUCAAAUUCCCAAAGGUCAUUUCCUUCUUCUAUUUAAAAAAAAAAGUGUGUGUGUGGGGGGGCACUUCUCUGGUGCUUCAGUGGUUAAGAAUCUGCCUUGCAAAGCAGGGGAUGCAGAUUUGAUCCCUGGACAGGGAACUAAGAUUCCACACGCCAAGGAGCAACUAAGCCCACAUGCCACAAGGGAUCCUGUAUGAUGCAAUUAGGACCUGACUCAGCCGAAUAAAUAUAUAUUUC